AGUGAACGCUGGCGGCAGGCCUAAUACAUGCAAGUCGAACGGCAGCACAGCAGAGCUUGCUCUGUGGGUGGCGAGUGGCGGACGGGUGAGGAAUACAUGGGAAUCUGCCCAGUCGUGGGGGAUAACGUAUGGAAACGUACGCUAAUACCGCAUGCGCCCUACGGGGGAAAGUCGGGGACCGCAAGGCCUGGCGCGAUUGGAUGAGCCCAUGUUCGAUUAGCUAGUUGGCGGGGUAAAGGCCCACCAAGGCGACGAUCGAUAGCUGGUCUGAGAGGAUGAUCAGCCACACUGGAACUGAGACACGGUCCAGACUCCUACGGGAGGCAGCAGUAGGGAAUAUUGGACAAUGGGGCAACCCUGAUCCAGCCAUGCCGCGUGUGUGAAGAAGGCCCUCGGGUUGUAAAGCACUUUAAGCGGGGAGGAAGGCCUGAUGGUUAAUACCCAUUGGGAUUG
This 453-nucleotide ribosomal RNA is filed under the name uncultured bacterium. Its description in RNAcentral is "bacterial SSU rRNA". It matches the Rfam family "Bacterial small subunit ribosomal RNA", at positions 29 to 475 of the family's 1533-position model. The record is from RNAcentral.